GAUGAAGAACGUAGCGAAAUGCGAUAAGUAAUGUGAAUUGCAGAAUUCCGUGAAUCAUCGAACCUUUGAACGCACAUUGCGCCCGCCAGUAUUCUGGCGGGCAUGCCUGUUCGAGCGUCAUUACGCCCCUCAAGUCCCCUGUGGACUUGGUGUUGGGGAUCGGCGAGGCUGGUUUUCCAGCACAGCCGUCCCUUAAAUUAAUUGGCGGUCUCGCCGUGGCCCUCCUCUGCGCAGUAGUAAAACACUCGCAACAGGAGCCCGGCGCGGUCCACUGCCGUAAAACCCCCCAACUUUUUAUAGUUGACCUCGAAUCAGGUAGGACUACCCGCUGAACUUAAGCAUAUCAAUAAGCGGAGGA
RNAcentral lists this unclassified non-coding RNA (358 nucleotides) under soil metagenome. Its description in RNAcentral is "partial contains 5.8S ribosomal RNA, internal transcribed spacer 2, and large subunit ribosomal RNA". The stretch from base 1 to 120 matches the Rfam family "5.8S ribosomal RNA", at positions 35 to 154 of the family's 154-position model. The record is from RNAcentral.